This 267-nucleotide long non-coding RNA is filed under the name Elaeis guineensis (African oil palm). Its description in RNAcentral is "long non-coding RNA (EGUI_LNC041045)". The record is from RNAcentral. Lineage: Eukaryota; Viridiplantae; Streptophyta; Magnoliopsida; Arecales; Arecaceae.
CCUGUGCUUUCUAAGACUCCAUGGAUGUUAUAGAGUAGAAUGUCUAGUGAUGGGAUUAGGAUCUUUCCUUUAGUGCCGAUCUAUUACUGUUGAGAUCUGAUCCAACUAGGUUAUCGAACUAACUGAUAUGUUGGAUAGCUCGACAAGAUGAUGAAUAGAUCAAUGGAGUUGGCCAGAGAUCUCAAUGCACCUCUUAGGAUAUUGAAUUAUGGUUGCUAGAACUUAGAUAUAGUAACAAUUGGGUUGUUCGAGCCUGAUCGAUAGUAG